GACAGAGGGUGCAAACGUUGCUCGGAUUUACUGGGCGUAAAGCGCAAGUAGGCGGUCUUGUAAGUCGGGUGUGAAAACCCGGGGCUCAACCCCGGCAGUGCACACGAUACUGCGAGACUGGGGUACUGAAGAGGAGAGCGGAAUUACUCGGUGUAGAGGUGAAAUUCGUAGAUAUCGGGAGGAACACCAAUGGCGAAGGCGGCUCUCUGGG
Molecule: ribosomal RNA, 211 nt
Filed under: uncultured bacterium
Lineage: Bacteria
Description: partial 16S ribosomal RNA
Rfam family: Bacterial small subunit ribosomal RNA
Source: RNAcentral